AAAAUAAAGUUUAAUCACAAAAAUAAUUAAUUCUCAAUAAAUAAGAACGUAAACUCUAAUAAUAAACUUCCACAAACAUGACAUCAACAGGUAAAUUCAAAGAAAUAAAUAAAUAAAACAACUUAUGUGAGUGUCAUUUAGUUAAAAUAAUAAAAUUCCUUUAACUAAAAAAAAAUGUAUCAUUUGACUUAUAAUUAUUGAGAUGAUAAUUUUCUAUCAAAUGGUGUUUCUUUUUUUUUUUUUUUCAAUAGGUUGAUUGCUCAUAAAUUUCAGGUUGGAGGAUCAAUGUCAAUAAAUCUCAUCAAAAUAAAAAAUGAAGUAUUAUUUAUGCUACAUUAUCAAUAUAGCACACAAAAUGUUAAUUUUAUUUAUAAUAACUAAUAAGGCUUUAUAAUUUUUGUCACAAUAAUAUUUUAUCAGUGGAAAUAUCAUUUCUCAUAAUUAUUAAUUAUUUCCUUCCAAUGGGCUAGGUAACUUUGCCCUCAAAAACCAUCUCAUCAUUAUUACUAUAAUUUUCCUUGAUUCAAAUAUGAAAACAACAAUAUAGAUUUGGUGUUUAUCUUAUUACUAUUAGAAACAUAAAAGCGGUAAUUACGUAAGUAUAAUAUGAGUUCAUAAAUUUUAAAAAAAAUAUUUCAUUUCAUCAAACACUAAUUUCAUCUCAUUUAAUUAUUUACAAUAGUAUUUAUUUAAUGCAUAUUUGUUUUUACAUGUUGCUUUCAUUUUUUAACUGUUAACAAUUGAUCACGCUCUGAACAAUUUAAUAAUGACCUUUCACUUAUUUAUUUUUAUUUUCAUUUAUUUCAAUUGACAAGUUUGAGUGUUGGAGUUUUGUUCAUAGUCCAUGGGUAAAGCAUAUACAAUCCAUAAUGAAAUGAUUUUUUAUAUAAAUACACAUUUAACCCAUUUAUACAACUACCUCUACGCUCCAAACGACAACCCGACAAGAGUGGGCACAGGCCAUCACAAGCACUCGACCGCGUGGGACCCGCGCGUUAGACACAAAACGUGUGACACGUGCGGGCCCACCCACCCGUCAGAGACACAACGCACACGUUCAACGCCAACAUCAAGGCACGUAGACAGCUCAACUCGAACGACCAAGACAUCAUUAUCCAUCAAUCAAAAAGUUGAAAAAAAGGCCGAAAACUUCACGGGGCUUUUGAGUUCCGGAAAUUAAUAGACACCCUUCAAGUCCGUGAAAUGGUGCCUCGCAACGUGGCAGUUGGGCCUCUGUUCCGAGACUUCAACGGGGCGCGGCCUUGUCGUGCGCCCAGGGAACAGAGUCCAUUGUUGCCUUGGCUUUAAACUGUUGUGGUGGGUGCCGCCAUAAUUUGAUACACCGACAACAUUAUAAAUUUCCACGCCAGCCCUGCUGCUUUACUGACACGUCAAACUCCAGAUUUGAAAAAUAACCUUAUAAACAGCGGGUCUUGCCAAUUUACAUAUACAUAUUCAAAGCCUGCUUGGACCACGUAAGUCCAUGAUUAAAGUUACAAGACAAAAUUAAAACGAAGAACGAUACUUUAUACCUGUUUAGAAGCCAUUGGAUAUUUUCGUCAUAUUUGAUAAAAGUUACAAGACAAAAUUAAAAAGAAAAAUGAUACUUUAUACCUGUUUAGAAGCCAUCGGAUAUAUUGGUCAUAUUCAAAACCUGUUUUAACCACGUAAGUCCAUGAUAAAAGUUUAAAAUACCUUUUGUGGAAAGGAUAAGUAUGAUAUUUUUUAAUAAAUAAAUAAAUUUAUUUAGUAAAUAGAUUAGGUGAAUAAUUUAGUGAGUUUAAAUAAUUUUGAUUAAUUUAUACAUAAAGAGUGAAGCUAUUGGCACCUUUCAUUAUUCUUAUAAAUCUCCACUUUAAAUAAAAUUACAUUGAAGGACAAAUAAUAAUUAAACACAUUUAAGAAUUUUCGUAAUAAAUUACUUUCAUAAUCAAUUCUUUUUUUUUUUGCAUUCAUAAUCAAUUCUUUUUUUCUUUUUAUUUUCUACUUGCCACUUCUCUCUAAUUAAAAUAAAUUACAAAAAUUUAUAAUAAUUUAUUUUUCUUUUCUUAUUUCUUAAUAAUUGAGAAUUUUUAUACCUAUUACUUUCAAAUUAUAAUUUAAAAUGUGUCAUAUCUAUAACAUAAUACUGUUUUGAGUUUUAAUAAUAUACAAAUUCAAUUAAAAAAAUAAAAUAAUGUAUUUAAAAGGAGAAAAAAGGACGUUUUUGAAAUUAAAUACAAAUAUUCCAAUUGUUACUGUGAAAAUGUGAUAUUUUCAGCACUAGAGCUACCACUUUAUUGCUUAUCCGACCCGAAAGGAACUGAUGUGGUCCAACCGUGGUCGGAUCGGAUUAUGUCUCCAUAAGAAAGGCUGUCAAUUAUGUCUCCAUAAGAAAGACGUCACAUAGAUGAUGUAAUCAGAUUUUAUCAUGCGUUUGUUCCCCUUCAAACGUCACAUAGAUGAUGUAAUCAGAUUUUUAUCAUGCGUUUCUUCCUCUUCAAUCGAGUACUUGUCACAUCCUGAGUGUUUGUGAAUCUACAUUUUUUUAAGGGCAUGUGUACAGUAGUAAGAAACAAGUUAAAAAAUAAUAAAAACACACAUUUUGAUGUUGUUAUCUUUAUCUUAAAGUAUUAAAAUCUAUAUUUCUUUUAAUCUUUUAACUUGUCUUUUACGAUAUUAAAAUAAGAAAAUCCUUACUAAAAAGUAAAAGGGGACUUGUCAUGUGCACAAAGUACAAUAUGUUUCAAAUGUUACUUGAUAGAAAUUACUGAAAGCAUUGUAUCAUUGGAAAACUCUGCUGCAUGCUACUAAUUUGACAGUUUAUCAAAUAUUUUUUUGCCGCUCGCUACUUAUGAAUCACGUUUAGUCCCCUUUGAAUUGUGUGCAUCCACCAUCUGUUAAAUUUAUCUUUGAAUUUUCUCGCUUCCAUAAGGGACACAAAUAAGAAACAGACAAGGAUGUUCAAAUCCCCGAGUUGUAAAAUUUACAAGAUGCAUCGGGUAGAAAAACCUCGUAGAAACCUUAGCUGAUGAACUCUGUAAAGAAUAUCCUCAUUCAUUCAGCUAACCCGUUGAACCAAAAUGCAAAAUCAUCCUCGAUAAGUACAAGAAACAAAAACUUUACAAGAAUAACUUAUGAACUUGAUAAAUUUCUGAGGAGACUAUAGAGAUGGCUAAUGGGCCGAGCGGCACAAGGUACGGCACGGGCACAACACGUGUCUGUACAGCACGGCACAACACGAGCACGUUUCGGUAGGGCACGAGGGGCAUGGCAUGACACGCACAUGGGCUGUGCUGGGCCUAGAAUUUUAGGCACGCGGGCUUUAAAAGCACGACAUGAUUAGAGAUGGGCCAAAGCACGGCACUCGAAAAGGCACGUAAUAAACACGCUUCAUUAGUGGGCUAAGCACGCGGCCCGUGGGCCACUAAUAGCACAUGGGCAAAAGUAUAUCAAAAUAAAUUUUUUUAAUGAAAAAUAAAUAUAAAAU
This 3469-nucleotide long non-coding RNA is filed under the name Citrus x clementina. RNAcentral's name for it is "Citrus clementina (C. clementina) long non-coding RNA (CCLE_LNC000622)". Lineage: Eukaryota; Viridiplantae; Streptophyta; Magnoliopsida; Sapindales; Rutaceae. The record is from RNAcentral.